AUAUAUAUAUAGAGAGAGAGAGAGAGAGAGAGAGAGAGAGAGAGAGAGAGAGAGAGAGAGUUGGGCUGAAAUACUAUUAAUAGUAUUUAGCCUCUUUUGCUAUCGAGUUUUUAAUCCUUAAAUGAAAAAUUAUAGGGUUAGGAUGAUAGUGGCCCCCUAGGGCUUAGUGGUGGUCCUCCUAAGAUUGAGUGGGUGGUUGGUUGAAUAAUAUAAUCUAAAGGGUAGAAUUGAUUAAAGUGUAGAUUUAACAGCUAAACAAUCGAUAGCAAAAGAGUCCAAAUAUUAUUAAUAGUAUUUAUUUGACCCUAACUCUCUCUCUCUCUCUCUCUCUCUCUCUCUCUAUAUAUAUAUAUAUAUAUAGUUCGGCUACCAUACUCUUAUGAGUACGAUCGCCCUUGUACUCAUAAAUUGUUUUCGAUGAUAGAGCUUCUGAAUCGACGAUCCAUACCGUUAAACAAUAUUUAGAGCAUUUAAAACUUCUAGAUAUUAAAUUUCAUAAUUUUUCGACAUCAUUUACCUUACGAUCAAAAGCUCACAAAAUUGACAAUAUUUUUUAACGGCCAGUAUCGGAUACUUGCUAGUUUAACGGUGUAAAAGAAUUGGAAUAGGUUGAAUUUUUGAUAAAAAAUUCUAUUCACUACCUAGAUAAAGAUCAAUAACUCCGAUCUUAAAUUAAAAGAUCCGAUCAUCCAUUUUUAAGACAUCGUUCGAUUUUGACCGUUCAUUUUAUGCCGGUUUGAUGGGCUUUGUUAUGAUUUCAAAAAAUUACAAAAUUUAUGUUUUAGAAGUUUCAAAUACUCUAAAUCAUAUUUAACGGAGUGGAUCGUCGAUUCGAAAGCCCCAUCAUCGAAAAUAACUUAUGAGUACAAAGGGGCCAAUACUCAUAAGAGUAUAGUAGCCCUACUAUAUAUAUCUAUAGAGUGAGGCUACUAUGCUAUUGGAAGCACGGAGCCUUCCGUGCUUCCAGCUCGUUUUCGAUGUUACGACUUUUGAAUCGUCGAUCGGCUCCAUUAAACUUGAUCUAGAGUAUUUGAAGUACCUAGAAAAUAAAUUUUAUGAUUUUACGAUAUCAUUUGCCUAGUGAACGAAGGGGCUCAAAAUCAACGGCUGAAAAUAAAAAUCUUACAAAAUGUAAUAAUAUGACAUUAAAAUUUUAAAUCAAAGAUAUUGAUCUUGUUUUAUAUAGUAUAAAGAAUUUUCUAUCAAAAUUUCACGUGAUUUGGAUAUUUCUACACCGUUAAACUUGCAAACGGCUCACUACGGCCAUUGAAAUUUGUUGAUUUUGAGCCCAUUCGAUCACUAGGCAAAUGAUAUCGAAAAAUAAUAAAAUUUAUUUUCUAGGUACUCCAAAUACUCUAGAUCAAGUUUAACGGAGCCGAUCGACGAUUCGAAAGUCGCAACAUCGAAAACGAGCUGGAAGCACGGAAGGCUCCGUACUUCCGAUAGCAUAGUAGCCUCACUCUAUAUAUAUAUAUAUAUAUAUAUA
RNAcentral lists this long non-coding RNA (1486 nucleotides) under Ananas comosus (pineapple). RNAcentral describes it as "long non-coding RNA (ACOM_LNC017278)". Lineage: Eukaryota; Viridiplantae; Streptophyta; Magnoliopsida; Poales; Bromeliaceae. The record is from RNAcentral.